Molecule: ribosomal RNA, 492 nt
Filed under: uncultured bacterium
Lineage: Bacteria
Description: partial 16S ribosomal RNA
Rfam family: Bacterial small subunit ribosomal RNA
Source: RNAcentral
AGUGAACGCUGGCGGUAGGCCUAACACAUGCAAGUCGAACGGCAGCACAGUAAGAGCUUGCUCUUACGGGUGGCGAGUGGCGGACGGGUGAGGAAUACAUCGGAAUCUACUUUUUCGUGGGGGAUAACGUAGGGAAACUUACGCUAAUACCGCAUACGACCUACGGGUGAAAGCAGGGGAUCUUCGGACCUUGCGCGAUUGAAUGAGCCGAUGUCGGAUUAGCUAGUUGGCGGGGUAAAGGCCCACCAAGGCGACGAUCCGUAGCUGGUCUGAGAGGAUGAUCGGCCACACUGGAACUGAGACACGGUCCAGACUCCUACGGGAGGCAGCAGUGGGGAAUAUUGGACAAUGGGCGCAAGCCUGAUCCAGCCAUACCGCGUGGGUGAAGGAGGCCUUCUGGUUGUAAAGCCCUUUUGUUGGGAAAGAAAAGCAGCAGGUUAAUACCCCGCUGUUCUGACGGUACCCAAAGAAUAAGCACCGGCUAACUUCGUG